Long non-coding RNA from Lycium ferocissimum, 950 nucleotides. RefSeq lists it as uncharacterized. The record is from RefSeq and is a predicted model, not a curated record. The transcript has 5 exons. Lineage: Eukaryota; Viridiplantae; Streptophyta; Magnoliopsida; Solanales; Solanaceae.
AUAUAGAUAAAUUCCGCCCAUGGCAAAGCAAGGAUCAGCGGACACACUUUCAGACUAUUAUUGUCCAGGAUGAGCACGAAGAACAGGUCUGCAUAAUACUGUACGGUGAUGAUAUUGGACGCUAUCACAAGAUGUUUGACCUUUUCAAUACUUAUCUUAUGUAAUCUGCCAAAGUUCGCGAGCCAAAACCUUAUUCAUUACGGAUCAAUACAUAUGAAUGGGUCGUCGACAGUUUCACUAUUGUCGACUGUGUUGAAAGGCAUAACGAGAAAGAGGCAGUUUUACCUCCUCCGACAAGGUUGAAUAUGGUUUCCUUCCUGGAUCUUGAACGACAACGUCUAUGCGUCGAAUUUGGAGGAAACCUUUCUUGUUUGUUAUGUGGGAAGAUCUUGCUGACAACGAAGGAACCAAGCUACUGAGACAGUUAAAGGAAUACCCUAGAUCUUUUUGCGAAGCGGAUGGCUAUGACUGAAUUCCGUAAUGUGCGACGACUGUCAACAAGGUAUAACUCGAUGAUCUUAAUCGAUCCACUCUACGUGCAGGUGACUGCCUUAAGAAGCUGGGUGAAAGACAACGAGAGAAUUUUAUAAGCGUACACUUUGAAAAGCUUAUCGGAAUAGCCUUCAUCGCUCAAUCUUGCCCCUAUUGAAGAUGAUAUACUACCCAUUUCCGCCAUAGCUUCGCAUUCUACUGUGAGUUUGUUAACUUACAUGAUAACUUUAUUCUCAGAAUUAUCUGCCCGGAUAGUUUUUUAUUCAAGAUAUAGUUCUUAUACUAAUUUUGAGGAUUUUCACACACACACACACACAUAUAUAUAUAUAUAUAUAGUCUAAAUAUAAGAAAUUAUGGCUUCAGUUAAACCCAUCAUUUUGUUACUCUUCUCAUCUUCUGCUAGCUUCCGUACACAACAAAUUUUACAGCUUUUGUUUUGUGUGCUUGUGUGUAGUUCU